UAAUUCAAAGUUAGUUAAAAUUGAGUUAGUUUGGUUAUUGCAAAAGCUGUUACUUAUUUUACAAGUAAAACAGAAUUAGUUAGUGUGUAGGUUAGUUAGUUGAGUUAACUGCUAUGUGAAUAAGUAACCACAGUUGGUUAAUGCUAACUCAUUGGUUUUGUGUAUAAAAACCAUACUACACCAUUGUAAAGAUACAUCAAUUGAUCAUUAAUGAAUUUACCCCUUUUCUCUCAUUCUUUCUCACAAUUUGUUCAUUCACAUUCAUCCAUUCAUUGUUCAUAAGUUCUAACA
RNAcentral lists this long non-coding RNA (291 nucleotides) under Trifolium pratense (red clover). RNAcentral describes it as "long non-coding RNA (TPRA_LNC004103)". Lineage: Eukaryota; Viridiplantae; Streptophyta; Magnoliopsida; Fabales; Fabaceae. The record is from RNAcentral.